GACGAACGCUGGCGGCGUGCUUAACACAUGCAAGUCGAACGGAAAGGCUCUGCUUUUGUGGGGUGCUCGAGUGGCGAACGGGUGAGUAACACGUGAGUAACCUGCCCUUGACUUUGGGAUAACUUCAGGAAACUGGGGCUAAUACCGGAUAGGAGCUCCUGCUGCAUGGUGGGGGUUGGAAAGUUUCGGCGGUUGGGGAUGAACUCGCGGCUUAUCAGCUUGUUGGUGGGGUAGUGGCUUACCAAGGCUUUGACGGGUAGCCGGCCUGAGAGGGUGACCGGCCACAUUGGGACUGAGAUACGGCCCAGACUCCUACGGGAGGCAGCAGUGGGGAAUAUUGCACAAUGGGCGGAAGCCUGAUGCAGCAACGCCGCGUGCGGGAUGACGGCCUUCGGGUUGUAAACCGCUUUCGCCUGUGACGAAGCGUGAGUGACGGUAAUGGGUAAAGAAGCACCGGCUAACUACGUG
This 468-nucleotide ribosomal RNA is filed under the name uncultured bacterium. Its description in RNAcentral is "partial 16S ribosomal RNA". It matches the Rfam family "Bacterial small subunit ribosomal RNA", at positions 28 to 507 of the family's 1533-position model. The record is from RNAcentral.